GGAAGUGUGCCCGAAAACAAGGACUACUUUGAUAAAGCAGACAUGGAACCAAGCAACAUUCCCACUUCCC
RNAcentral lists this transfer RNA (70 nucleotides) under Ctenophorus clayi. Its description in RNAcentral is "tRNA-Ile". Lineage: Eukaryota; Metazoa; Chordata; Lepidosauria; Squamata; Agamidae. The record is from RNAcentral.